ACACGCAUGACACACUGCAUAUCAAUAAGCGGAGGAAAAGAAACUAACAAGGAUUCCCCUAGUAACGGCGAGUGAAGCGGGAAGAGCUCAAAUUUGAAAUCUUAAAGGGUUUCCCUUUACGAAUUGUAGUUUAAAGAAGUGUUUUCUGUUGGAGUUUCGGUAAAAGUUCUUUGGAAUAGGACGUCAUAGAGGGUGAGAAUCCCGUAUUUGACCGUUACUUUCCAGCUGUGUGAUACACUUUCAAAGAGUCGGAUUGUUUGGGAAUGCAGUCCAAAAUGGGUGGUAAAUUUCAUCUAAAGCUAAAUAUUGGCGAGAGACCGAUAGCGAACAAGUACCGUGAGGGAAAGAUGAAAAGAACUUUGAAAAGAGAGUUAAACAGUACGUGAAAUUGUCAAAAGGGAAGCGUUUGACACCAGUGUUGUUUAGUUGAAAAUCAAUUCAAUAAUUUUUGAUUUUAAGUAGUAUUGACUUCAUCAGCUUGCUGCUUUCUUUUCAGGAAUUAUUGAAUGCACUUUUCAGUUAACAAGUCAACAUCAAUUUCUUUUGUUGUAAAAGGGUAAGAGGAAGGUGGCUUACGCUUCGGCGUAAGUGUUUAUAGCCUUUUACCUCUGCAAUCGGAGAGAUUGAGGACAGCAGCGUAGACUCUUCGGGGUUAGAUACACUUGUGCUAAGCUAUAGCCUUGUAUAGACAACUUGUUGACUAUGCUCAGUCAUGUAGCUUACUCGCUUGUGCUAUUUUACCUACGCUUAGGAUGUUGAGCGCAUGUCUCUCUCU
RNAcentral lists this ribosomal RNA (775 nucleotides) under uncultured Neocallimastigales. Its description in RNAcentral is "partial large subunit ribosomal RNA". It matches the Rfam family "Eukaryotic large subunit ribosomal RNA", at positions 23 to 616 of the family's 3401-position model. The record is from RNAcentral. Lineage: Eukaryota; Fungi; Neocallimastigomycota; Neocallimastigomycetes; Neocallimastigales.